RNAcentral lists this ribosomal RNA (497 nucleotides) under uncultured bacterium. RNAcentral's name for it is "partial 16S ribosomal RNA". It matches the Rfam family "Bacterial small subunit ribosomal RNA", at positions 28 to 507 of the family's 1533-position model. The record is from RNAcentral.
GAUGGACGCCGGCGGCGUGCCUAAUACAUGCAAGUCGAGCGAACGGACGAGAAGCUUGCUUCUCUGAUGUUAGCGGCGGACGGGUGAGUAACACGUGGAUAACCUACCUAUAAGACUGGGAUAACUUCGGGAAACCGGAGCUAAUACCGGAUGAUAUUUUGAACCGCAUGGUUCAAAAGUGAAAGACGGUCUUGCUGUCACUUAUAGAUGGAUCCGCGCUGCAUUAGCUAGUUGGUAAGGUAACGGCUUACCAAGGCAACGAUGCAUAGCCGACCUGAGAGGGUGAUCGGCCACACUGGAACUGAGACACGGUCCAGACUCCUACGGGAGGCAGCAGUAGGGAAUCUUCCGCAAUGGGCGAAAGCCUGACGGAGCAACGCCGCGUGAGUGAUGAAGGUCUUCGGAUCGUAAAACUCUGUUAUUAGGGAAGAACAUAUGUGUAAGUAACUGUGCACAUCUUGACGGUACCUAAUCAGAAAGCCACGGCUAACUACGUG